This 497-nucleotide ribosomal RNA is filed under the name uncultured bacterium. RNAcentral describes it as "partial 16S ribosomal RNA". It matches the Rfam family "Bacterial small subunit ribosomal RNA", at positions 28 to 507 of the family's 1533-position model. The record is from RNAcentral.
GAUGAACGCUGGCGGCGUGCCUAAUACAUGCAAGUCGAGCGAACAGACGAGGAGCUUGCUCCUCUGACGUUAGCGGCGGACGGGUGAGUAACACGUGGAUAACCUACCUAUAAGACUGGGAUAACUUCGGGAAACCGGAGCUAAUACCGGAUAAUAUAUUGAACCGCAUGGUUCAAUAGUGAAAGACGGUUUUGCUGUCACUUAUAGAUGGAUCCGCGCCGCAUUAGCUAGUUGGUAAGGUAACGGCUUACCAAGGCAACGAUGCGUAGCCGACCUGAGAGGGGGAUCGGCCACACGGGAACUGAGACACGGUCCAGACUCCGACGGGAGGCAGCAGUAGGGAAUCUUCCGCAAUGGGCGAAAGCCUGACGGAGCAACGCCGCGUGAGUGAUGAAGGUCUUCGGAUCGUAAAACUCUGUUAUUAGGGAAGAACAAAUGUGUAAGUAACUAUGCACGUCUUGACGGUACCUAAUCAGAAAGCCACGGCUAACUACGUG